RNAcentral lists this ribosomal RNA (544 nucleotides) under uncultured Actinomycetes bacterium. Its description in RNAcentral is "bacterial SSU rRNA". It matches the Rfam family "Bacterial small subunit ribosomal RNA", at positions 864 to 1412 of the family's 1533-position model. The record is from RNAcentral. Lineage: Bacteria; Bacillati; Actinomycetota; Actinomycetes.
GUGGCCCGCCUGGGGAGUACGAUCGCAAGGUUAAAACUCAAAGGAAUUGACGGGCCCCGCACAAGCAACGGAGCAUGCGGCUUAAUUCGCCGCAACGCGAAGAACCUUACCAAGGCUUGACAUAUAGGGAAAAGUGGCAGAGAUGUCAUGUCCGCAAGGGCUCUAUACAGGUGGUGCAUGGUUGUCGUCAGCUCGUGUCGUGAGAUGUUGGGUUAAGUCCCGCAACGAGCGCAACCCUCGUUCUGUGUUGCCAGCAUUUAGUUGGGGACUCACAGGAGACUGCCGGGGUUAACUCGGAGGAAGGUGGGGAUGACGUCAAAUCAUCAUGCCCCUUAUGUCUUGGGCUGCACGCAUGCUACAAUGGCCGGUACAGAGGGCUGCAAUACCGUAAGGUGGAGCGAAUCCCAAAAAGCCGGUCUCAGUUCGGAUUGAGGUCUGCAACUCGACCUCAUGAAGUUGGAGUUGCUAGUAAUCGUAGAUCAGCAACGCUACGGUGAAUACGUUCCCGGGGCUUGUACACACCGCCCGUCACGUCACGAAAGUC